Long non-coding RNA from Mercenaria mercenaria, 1244 nucleotides. RefSeq lists it as uncharacterized. The transcript has 3 exons. The record is from RefSeq and is a predicted model, not a curated record. Lineage: Eukaryota; Metazoa; Mollusca; Bivalvia; Venerida; Veneridae.
UCUCUUACAAUCACACGAAAUGAUUUUAUGAUGGAAUCUACGGAAGUGGACGGGGCAAAACAAGACUGCAAGCAGGUUGAAAUGAAUACUUUUGCUGCUGGUGGAGGCGGAGAAGCCAGCAGUAUGGUAGACGUUCACAAGUAACUGUAAUAUGGCGGGGACUCAUUCCCUGAGUCUUUAACCCUUACCCUGCUAAUUUUCAAUAAUGAACUUGUCCAUCUUUCAAUUUGGACAGUACUAUUAACUGUUAAAAGGGGUGCUUACCAAAAAAACACUAAAUGAAUGGCAAAUAGUGCAGAUCUUGAUCAGACUGCACGGCGGAUGUGCAGGCGGAUCAUGAUCUACACUGGUCGCAAAGGCUAGAUCAAUCAUGUCUAGCAUGAUAAGAGUUAAAGAGACUUAGUCUUACGGAGAAUGCACAUGUAGACUUGUAAAAUGUCGGAGAGUAUGCAUACGGAACCCUUUUUAUAUCAUUGUAUAUCUGCAAGCAGUAACUAACAUUAGAAUCGUAACUGAGCGUGUCCUCUUGAAACACGUAUUACAUUUUUAUAUUAAGUAUUUGUUAUUAUAUUUCGAGGUUUAUUAAGUGCAUUUACUCUGUUGCAACGAAGAUUCCAAUGUUUUAUAAAAAGAAUGGUACCUCAUUCUUUACCGGAUUGUCCGAGCCAAAAUGGCCGAUAAUGUUUUAAAGCUCAAAUUCAUUCCUUGAUAUUAUAACACUUGAAACUAUUACUCAGGAAUGUUAACACAAUGCUGCAUUUAAGUAUAUUAUGAUCUGUCUUUUACAAAUAAUUUAAAAAUGUAUAACUUUCUUGUUCAGAAAACUGACAGAAAACUAGAAUAACUUGUAUGCAUUUACGACAGAUAACGGAGUCCUUUAUACUAGAAUGAUGAAAAUUCCGCUUAUUGUAGAGGGUUUGAGAUGUGUUGUACAUUCCAUUACAUCUUAAGAACAGACUUAAUCAAACCGAAUCUGUUAUCAUUUUGUUUUGUUUCGUUCCUAAUGCUGCAAGUGGAUUUCUUAAAGAUUUUAUUUACAAUUUCACCAUGUCAUAUUAUGUUAGACCAUUUCAUAACUGUUAGUUUCUUUACAGGUACAGUUUAUCAUUGGAGGACAUUCCAUUCGAAGAAGAACAGUUACCAGAAAAUUACCCUAUAGAUGGAAUGGCGCAGGGCCUCGUUAAAGCAUGGCAGCUAUACAAAAAUAAUCGAGGGGACGAUCAAAGGAUACAAAAAAGCUCCGU